CCUACGGGAGGCAGCAGUGGGGGAUAUUGCACAAUGGGGGAAACCCUGAUGCAGCGACGCCGCGUGGGUGAAGAAGAGCCUCGGCGCGUAAAGCCCUGUCAGCAGGGAAGAAAAGGACGGUACCUGAAGAAGAAGCCCCGGCGAACGACGGGCCAGCAGCCGCGGUAAUACGUCGGGGGCAAGCUUUAGCCGGAUUUACUGGGUGUACAGGGGGCGCAGACGGCGCGGCAAGACAGGAGUGAAAGCCCGGGGCCCAACCCCGGGACUGCUCUUGGAACUGCGUGGCUAGAGUGCAGGAGGGGCAGGCGUCAUUCCUGUUGUAGCGGUGAACUGCGUAGAUAUCAGGAG
This 348-nucleotide ribosomal RNA is filed under the name uncultured bacterium. Its description in RNAcentral is "partial 16S ribosomal RNA". It matches the Rfam family "Bacterial small subunit ribosomal RNA", at positions 338 to 703 of the family's 1533-position model. The record is from RNAcentral.